GUAGGUGGCAAGCGUUGUCCGGAAUUAUUGGGCGUAAAGCGCGCGCAGGUGGUUCUUUAAGUCUGAUGUGAAAGCCCCCGGGCUCAACCGGGGAGGGUCAUUGGAAACUGGGGAACUUGAGUGCAGGAGAGGAAAGUGGAAUUCCACGUGUAGCGGUGAAAUGCGUAGAUAUGUGGAGUAACACCAGUGGCGAAGGCGACUUUCUGGCCUGUAACUGACACUGAGGCGCGAAAGCGUGGGGAGCAAACAGGAUUAGAUACCCUGGUAGUCCACGCCGUAAACGAUGAGUGCUAAGUGUUGGGGGGUUUCCGCCCCUCAGUGCUGCAGCUAACGCAUUAAGCACUCCGCCUGGGGAGUACGGUCGCAAAGACUG
RNAcentral lists this ribosomal RNA (373 nucleotides) under uncultured organism. RNAcentral's name for it is "partial 16S ribosomal RNA". It matches the Rfam family "Bacterial small subunit ribosomal RNA", at positions 527 to 896 of the family's 1533-position model. The record is from RNAcentral.